This 1341-nucleotide ribosomal RNA is filed under the name Phytophthora niederhauseri. Its description in RNAcentral is "partial 28S ribosomal RNA". It matches the Rfam family "Eukaryotic large subunit ribosomal RNA", at positions 24 to 1155 of the family's 3401-position model. Lineage: Eukaryota; Oomycota; Peronosporomycetes; Peronosporales; Peronosporaceae. The record is from RNAcentral.
CCCGCUGAACUUAAGCAUAUCCAUAAGCGGAGGAAAAGAAACUAACAAGGAUUCCCCUAGUAACGGCGAGUGAAGCGGGAAGAGCUCAAGCUUAAAAUCUCCGUGCAAGUUUUGCGCGGCGAAUUGUAGUCUAUAGAGGCGUGGUCAGCGUGGGCGCUUGGGGCAAGUUCCUUGGAAGAGGACAGCAUGGAGGGUGAUACUCCCGUUCAUCCCUGAGUGGCUCGUGCGUACGACCCGUGUUCUUUGAGUCGCGUUGUUUGGGAAUGCAGCGCAAAGUAGGUGGUAAAUUCCAUCUAAAGCUAAAUAUUGGUGCGAGACCGAUAGCGAACAAGUACCGUGAGGGAAAGAUGAAAAGAACUUUGAAAAGAGAGUUAAAGAGUACCUGAAACUGCUGAAAGGGAACCGAAUCGUUUCCAGUGUCUAUAAUCCGUGGCAUAUUUCAUUGGCGAGUGUGCGCGUGCGUGUGCUGUGGCAGUGGCUUUUUUGGCUGCGCUCGGUGUGUGUGCUGUGUGUGCUUGCUGGUGCCCUGUGCUGCGGUGGGACGUCAAGGUCAGUUCGUAUGCUGCGGGAAAUGGCUGCCGAGGAGGUAGGGCUUACGCUCCGCGUUUGUCUGUUAUAUCUUGGUGGACGAGUCGUCGCGGUUGGGACUGAGGUGCCUACAACGUGCUUUUGAGUGGGUUUGUGUCUCCGUGUGCGCCGUGUGCGGAUAGCUUGCUAUGCGUGUGUGGUUGUGUGUGGAUUGAUGCGGGCUUUAACUUGUCGCCGUUCGGGACGUUGACGAAAUGGAGCGAUCCGACCCGUCUUGAAACACGGACCAAGGAGUCUAACAUGUGUGCAAGUGUUAGGGUGUGGAAACCCCAGCGCGAAAUGAAAGUGAAGGGCAGCGCAAGUUGUCUGAGGUAGGAAACGUUGCGGGCUUCGGUCUGCGGCGUGGCACUAUCGACCGAUCAUGAACCUUCGUGGUGAAAGAUUUGAGUUUGAGCACAUAUGUUGGUACCCGAAAGAUGGUGAACUAUGCCUGAGUAGGGUGAAGCCAGGGGAAACUCUGGUGGAAGCUCGUAGCGAUUCUGACGUGCAAAUCGAUCGUCAAACUUGGGUAUAGGGGCGAAAGACUAAUCGAACCAUCUAGUAGCUGGUUCCCUCCGAAAUUUCCCUCAGGAUAGCAGCAACUUAUUUACGAUAGUUUUAUGAGGUAAAGCGAAUGAUUAGAGGAUUCGGGGAAGAAACUUCCUCGACCUAUUCUCAAACUUUAAAUCUGUAAGACCUGCAGGUUUCUUAAUUGAACUUGUGGAUGUGAAUAUCAAGUUGCUAGUGGGCCAUACGGGGUAAGCUCGUCUGGCG